RNAcentral lists this ribosomal RNA (966 nucleotides) under Triticum aestivum (bread wheat). RNAcentral's name for it is "partial small subunit ribosomal RNA". The record is from RNAcentral. Lineage: Eukaryota; Viridiplantae; Streptophyta; Magnoliopsida; Poales; Poaceae.
AUGGCCUCCGACCAUGAGCGCCUCCGAGCACUCACAGCCUUCGACGACACCAAGGCCGGCGUCAAAGGCCUCGUCGAUGCUGGGGUCACCGCUGUCCCAUCCAUCUUCCACCACCCGCCCGAAUGCCUCCCUGCAGCGGACGCCGAGCUCCACCACUUUACCAUACCGGUCAUCGACCUGGCGUCUGACUCGCGAGUCGCGCUGGUUGCCCAAGUGAAGGCCGCCGCGCAGGCGGUGGGCUUCUUCCAGGUGGUGAACCACGACGUGCCGGACGACCUUCUCGCCGAGAUGCUCGUCUCGGUGCGCCGCUUCCACGAGUCUCCCGUGGAGACGAAGCGCGCCUACUACAGCCGGGACCACCGCCGAACAGUCCAGUCCAACUCCAACUUCUACCUGUUCCAGUCGCCGGCGGCCAGCUGGCGCGACACCAUGGCCGUCGCGCCGGAGUACGCUCGGCAGGUGCAGCGGCUAGGCCGUGCGCUAUUCGAGCUGCUGUCGGAGGCGCUGGGUCUGGAUCUAAGCUACCUGGAGGAGGAGACGAUGUGCCUGGACCGGGUGAACAUCAGCGGCCACUAUUACCCGGCGUGCCCGGAGCCACACCUCACGCUGGGCACCAGCAGGCACUCCGACGCCAGCCUCCUCACCGUGCUCCUCCAGGACACCGUCGGCGGGCUCCAGGUGCUCCUCGACGACGGCAAGUGGGCGGACGUGCCGGCCGUGCCGGGGGCGCUGGUGGUCAACGUCGGCGACUACCUGCAGCUCAUGUCCAACAACAGAUUCAAGAGCGUGGAACACCGUGUGGUGGCUAACAGCGUCGAGUCCAGGGUGUCGGUUGCCUGCUUCAUCGUGCCAAACCAAUCGUCCGCCAGGGUGCUCGCGCCCAUCGUCACCGGCGACGGCAGCGUCGCGCGGUACAGGAGCACCACGGUGGAGGACAUGUUCCGCUACUACAGGAACAGGCGCUAG